This 453-nucleotide long non-coding RNA is filed under the name Chinchilla lanigera (long-tailed chinchilla). RNAcentral describes it as "lncRNA (ENSCLAG00000025235.1)". Lineage: Eukaryota; Metazoa; Chordata; Mammalia; Rodentia; Chinchillidae. The record is from RNAcentral.
AAAAUUUUACAGGAAUUUAAAGAGGGAAAGAUGAUUUCCCGAGAGAUCUGCCAUGGUAGCAGCACUGGGAAGGCAAAGAGGCCACUGCACUGGUAGAGAACUGAGAGGAAAGCCAAAAUGGUGCAGAGAAGAACACGAUUCUGGAGGAUGCCAGUGGUGGGGAUAGCGGAUUUCCCACCCUGGCUAAUCAGGAAGUCCAGGUACAGGAACCAAUAAAGAAACACACUGCAACUCCAGUGACAUGAAUACCUGGUGCUAUAAACCACAGAGACCUGUACAAGGCCGUGAUCUCUCUCAGGACUGCUAUUAGAUGAACUCAGAAAGAAGAAAAAUUUUGUUUCCACCUGUAUUAAUUGGGUUAGACUACCAUAACAGAAUAUCACAGACUGGAUGCUUUAGAAUAGACGCACUUAUCAUCUCACAGUCCUGGAGGCUGGAAGUCCAUGGUCAGUA